AUUGAACGCUGGCGGCAGGCCUAACACAUGCAAGUCGAGCGAGCGGCGGACGGGUGAGUAAUGUAUGGGGACUGCCCGAUAGAGGGGGAUAACUACUGGAAACGGUAGCUAAUACCGCAUACUAUCGGAUAACCCAUAUGGGAUUAGCUAGUAGGUGAGGUAAUGGCUCACCUAGGCGACGAUCCCUAGCUGGUCUGAGAGGAGGAUCAGCCACACUGGGACUGAGACACGGCCCAGACUCCUACGGAGGCAGCAGGGGGGAAUAUUGCACAAUGGGGGGAAGGCUGAUGCAGCCAUGCCGGGUUUAUUAAGAAGGCCCUAAGGUUGUAAAGGACUUUCAGUCGGGAGGCGUUACCGACAGGAGAAGCACCGGGUAACUCCGGGCCAGGAGGCGCGGUAAUUC
RNAcentral lists this ribosomal RNA (403 nucleotides) under uncultured bacterium. RNAcentral's name for it is "partial 16S ribosomal RNA". It matches the Rfam family "Bacterial small subunit ribosomal RNA", at positions 29 to 526 of the family's 1533-position model. The record is from RNAcentral.